UUAUCUUUGUCCCCGUAUCGGUUCGAGAUGCCUGCAACAGGAUAUCGAUGAAAAGGGAAUCCCGUGAAAGUCGGGAACAGUCCCGCUGCUGUAAUUCUCCUAUAUUUGCGGUAAACUACCCCCUGCCACUGAAUAGAAUUAUUCGGGAAGGCGUUUACCCACAGAGAUAAGUCAGAAGACCUGCCAUACACACAAAAUGCCG
This is a non-coding RNA of Tannerella sp. CAG:51, 202 nucleotides long. The record is from Rfam. Lineage: Bacteria; Pseudomonadati; Bacteroidota; Bacteroidia; Bacteroidales; Tannerellaceae.